UGACCUCAAAUCAAGUAGGACUACCCGCUGAACUUAA
RNAcentral lists this ribosomal RNA (37 nucleotides) under Lentinus brumalis. RNAcentral's name for it is "partial 25S ribosomal RNA". Lineage: Eukaryota; Fungi; Basidiomycota; Agaricomycetes; Polyporales; Polyporaceae. The record is from RNAcentral.